AAGUCGUAACAAGGUUUCCGUAGGUGAACCUGCGGAAGGAUCAUUAACACGUAUCCAACGUUAACCACCCGUGCACCUUCAUUUGCCGAAGCAGCUGUGCUUGAACUUCCGCGGAAGGCCCGUUGGCUGACUGCUUACCGAGUGUCAUCCGCAAGGGUGGUGCUCGGCGGACGCAGCGGAAACCCGAACAACUGUUAGCAAUGGAUAUCUUGGCUCUC
Molecule: unclassified non-coding RNA, 218 nt
Filed under: fungal sp.
Lineage: Eukaryota; Fungi
Description: partial internal transcribed spacer region
Rfam family: Eukaryotic small subunit ribosomal RNA (bases 1-46)
Source: RNAcentral